RNAcentral lists this ribosomal RNA (250 nucleotides) under uncultured bacterium. Its description in RNAcentral is "partial 16S ribosomal RNA". It matches the Rfam family "Bacterial small subunit ribosomal RNA", at positions 524 to 773 of the family's 1533-position model. The record is from RNAcentral.
AACGUAGGUACCGAGCGUUAUCCGGAUUUACUGGGCGUAAAGCGUGUGCAGGCGGUCGUGCAAGUCGGGCAUGAAAGCCCCUGGCUCAACUAGGGGAAGCUGUCCGAUACUGCAGGACUUGAGGGCUCGAGAGGGCGAUGGAAUUCCGCAUGUAGUGGUGAAAUGCGUAGAGAUGCGGAGGAACACCAGUGGCGAAAGCGGUCGCCUGGCGAGCCCCUGACGCUCAGACACGAAAGCUAGGGGAGCGAAC